Passer domesticus (house sparrow) is the source of this 1282-nucleotide long non-coding RNA. RefSeq lists it as uncharacterized. The record is from RefSeq and is a predicted model, not a curated record. The transcript is spliced from 2 exons. Lineage: Eukaryota; Metazoa; Chordata; Aves; Passeriformes; Passeridae.
UCUUCCUGAAAAGCACAGAGGACACAUCUAAAAUGGCAGCACAUUACCUGAAUCCUUCAUCUAGAAGCCAGCCUGCUGCAUAUCCCUUUGCUGCAUCCAGGCUCAGCUGGGAGCUCGCCUGCUCUGUUACUCAGAGGAUGCUGUUUGACCUCACUCAGACCUUCCCAGCAGGAGCUGUGUGUGAUCUCUUGGAUGACAUCCACCCCUGGCUGACACAAACCCUGUGCAGCUGAGUGGUGCCCAGUGUUGUGUCUGCUCUCUGGGAAGAGUCAUGGAUGUAGAGAAGGCAAUCAGGAGCUGAGGGAAUAGACUCAGCCAGGAAGGAGAGUGGUGCUGUUGUUGUAGUGCUUUGCCAGUAAAACGCUCAGAGGGAUUUCAUGCAGGAGCACCUCAGAAUCCUCAACAGAUCUGAAGCAUGAGCAGACUCCUCAGAAAGAAACUGGACACUGUGUUUGGCUGUGACCACUGGGAGAACUGAGAGGGAGCUGCUGGGAGUAACAGCAGCUGAGAGCAGAGUAACUGCUGGGAAUACACUGUCCUGGCUGAACAGGUAAACCCUGGGGGUUAUUUGUCUCCAGUGUCCUGAGUUUGCAAGAGAACAAGUAUGGAAAAAUGGCCCUGUUCCUCCAGUGCUGUGCUGCUUUCCCAGGAACACCCAGCAGGCUGGUGGGAGCCACAGCCCCCAAACACAGGACUGAUGCAAAGCCAGGCUAGACAGUGCCUGCUUCUAAGACAUGACAGUCCCCAGGGGCAGAUGGUUAUUGCUGGCACAGCCACGUGGGCCUGAAACCAGCCAAGCUGUGCUGCAAAACACAGCAAUUAGAACCAGGCAAGUAUUCCAACCUUGCCUUAAACCUGAGAGCAGCCUGCCAGCUCUCAUGAGUCACCUUUACACUGCCAAGGAGCAAUUCCUCCAACUCACAUCUGAGGGUUUCAUCUGUAACAAGCUUCCUGUUUAUAAAGAUACACAGCCAUACAUAAAAAACACCCUUCCCUCAGACAUUUUUUCUGUGCUCCUCAUGUGUUUUGUCUCCCCUCUCAGACCCUGGGGCUCCCCAUCUCUUCUAGAGCUGGUUUCCUUCACUGUCACAUCUCUCACCCAGGGUUAGAGACUCUUUCAGGACCACCUCUCCCCUACCUCUCUUCCCAGGAAGUUUUCUUCCUCAUCUUCUGCCAGGAUGUGCAGCUGACUUUCCUCUGCUCCUGAGGCUGCUGCUCCUGUGGUCUUUUCCUGGCUCCUCACUUCCUCCCCAUCACUCUGCUUCCCCGAGCCACAAUAAUC